RNAcentral lists this non-coding RNA (24 nucleotides) under Cricetulus griseus (Chinese hamster). Lineage: Eukaryota; Metazoa; Chordata; Mammalia; Rodentia; Cricetidae. The record is from RNAcentral.
UAAAAUCUGACAGAAGAAUUUCAC